Molecule: ribosomal RNA, 425 nt
Filed under: Triticum aestivum (bread wheat)
Lineage: Eukaryota; Viridiplantae; Streptophyta; Magnoliopsida; Poales; Poaceae
Description: partial small subunit ribosomal RNA
Source: RNAcentral
GUCGUAUUUUAGAUCCAUUCAGGAGCUCCUUAACUCCAUUCAUGGUCCAAGCACUUGUCUGCACACAAGAUUGGUUGAGGGGAUCUAUUGCUGUAAAUGAUGAAGAGGACACUGCAGAAUUAACUAAGCUAGAGGAAGCAUUGCUUGAAGAAAUAAAUGGGCUCAAUAUUUCGAAGAACAACUCCAAUAAGGAUAAUUCGGUCAUCAUGGAUGAUCGUACUUCCUAAACAUGUUGCUAUUGAGGUAUGCCAAUAAAUUUAUUGUACAAAAUCCUCAGAUGUUUGCGUCCGGCAAGGUUGCCGUAUGGAGCCAUGAAAGUAGUACUGCAGAUCUGAGAUCUUGAAGCCUUACUCCUGUGAUGAAGUCCCAUUUAUUCACGUUUCUGUCACCAGUCAGCUAUUUGAUAGCCUUUUGUUUGAUUUCCC